RNAcentral lists this unclassified non-coding RNA (2666 nucleotides) under Leishmania donovani. RNAcentral describes it as "gene:LdHU3.32.2880(CDS-product:hypothetical_prote in_conserved)". Lineage: Eukaryota; Euglenozoa; Kinetoplastea; Trypanosomatida; Trypanosomatidae. The record is from RNAcentral.
UUUGAUGGUCGCACAUGUUGUGCUUGGCUGCGCGGCGUACUUCUCCUUCCCAUCACCACUCAGGCACAUGCACACACACGCACGUACACUUGUCAGGCACACGGUGUUGCGUUCUCGGCCCCUUCUCCGGCAUUACCUGUUCUGCGUAUGUGGAUGAAAUACUGAGCGAGUCUACUUCGUUCAAAGGAACAGCCGUGCAUACGCGCAGACGGGCCUCUACCGCUAGUGUUUAACUCAAGCUCUUUUUUUUUUCGGUUCAUUCCUCUACACCCAGUCUCCUGUUCAUUUGCCGACGUAAUCCUUCUCGUCCAGUCAAGGCCGAUGCAGCACGCGCAGGUGGAGAACGUCACCCAGUGAAGCGACAUCGCGGCCUACAGAAAGGGCGCAGGAGCGAUGAACCCUACCGUGCCACGUGGCGCUGAGUGGGGGCUGGUGCACUGCGACUUUUACCACCACGCACGCGCCAACACAUCAAGACUAUUGGUGUCUCAUCGCACCACGGACACUGUCGGGCAGAUGUUGAUGUCGUUGAUGAAGGGCGGCCUGCUAACAUCGGCGCCCUCCAAGAAGCCGCACGUCAAUGGAGGCACGGCCUAUACAGCGCCCUCUGUGACCGCCGAAGAGGCAUCACGAGGCACGGAGAGGCCUCACCAAGCUGCUCCAGUGGCGGACUACAGUUGUGUGGAUAUGGAAGGGACGCGGAAAGAUGACUCCAAGUUUGUACCGUCGGUACCGCGGUCAGCACAAGCCCAGGAGGCAUCUGUGCCAACACCACCCUCACCACUAGCAUCGGCGAGUCAGGCAGAGACGAGUGCUGCCAAAGAUGCAGAGAGCUUCCUCUCACGCAACGCGCCGCCGCCGUCCUCGUCGGCUCUCUCAGUCGUCGACAAGCACUCAUCAGCUCCAACGGCGCGCCCUUCUCCGCCAGCGCAAGUGCCGCAGAACGAGCCAUCUGUGCCGGUGAGUCCUCUACAGACAGCAACCGCGUCGGCCAGGCACUGGCAAUGGACACCGCAGCGGGACACCGUCGACAGUGCCUUUGUGCGCCGCCAGCUUGCCCUGCUGGCGCACCGACGGGUGCUAGCGCUUCUGGACCCUCAUGCCCUCGCCUGCGGCAGCUACAUCUCCAUGUUCUCCUCUGGCGCCGAGUACAGCCGUCUCACUCAAUGCUUCCGUGCAGUGGAAGUGGCGAAGAAAGACGUGGUGAGCUCGUGGGUGUCGCUGGCGCACUGCGCGGCGCUGUGCAUUCUCCUGCCGCGCAUCAUGGAUGAGAAGGUACAACUGGCGAUGGCUUCCAAGGGCAAUGCUGCGCCCCGCGACGUCCCUACCGAAGCGGGCAGCCGGGGCCACAUCGGACCCCGUUUCCAUAAUCGGAAGGAGUCCAGUGGGCCUACCGAACCGGAUGUGCCUGCGCGUGUGAGUGAGGCCAUGCGUGGUGUCUACGUGCAUCGCGUCGCUGACGAUGCUUUUGAGCUUGGCGUGGUCAUGCACGGCGGCCAUCAAGACUCACGACUGCUCUGCCUCCUUCAGUGCUUGUCGCACUGGUGCCAAGUUGUGAUUGAGCAUCGCAGUGUUGUCCUGCCCAUCUGUGCCUGCCUGCGCUCUGUCUCGCUGCGCCUGUGGUGGAUGCCGCAGGACGGCCGCGUGACGCCAGGCUCCCUCCUUCCGCCGCUCAAGGCCUUCGUGGAGGAAGGCCGGCGCAGCUUCUUCGCAGCUAUACGCAGCAGCGUCGCUGAGUGUGACGGCAUUCCUGGCGGGGUGUGCCAAGUGCAGUCGUCCACGCGGCUAGAGGAAGAUGCCUUUGAACUGUUCCCCUCUUACGACGACGUCGUGCUCUUCCUCGUACGUCCUGUGGCCUCACAGCUACGCGGUACUAAUGUGCUGCGACUCCCGCACGCCUUUGGCGAGCACGUCAUCGACCAACAGUGGGGUGCCACCGACGAGGCGGCGGAGUACCGGGUGGCGGUCCCAGAUGAGGCCUCAGAGGCACGGAAUGGCAAUGGGUGUGCCCAUCCGCUUUUCCCUCGCGCGUCAGGGGUACAAGAAUUGGUGCGGCUCUCCAACGGAGCGGUACAGGCCACAUUGGUGUUUGCUGACGUCAGGGUGACCACGGUUGGGGAGCACCUCCUCGCAGUGGAGAUGCGGCCGAAGGCCGCGUAUCGCCCCUUUGUGCCAACGCUGUGUGCCAAGGUGGCCCCGUUCCUUGUCGUUGGCCCAGAGGAGGCGUAAGAAGGGCAGGCAGCAGCGCGUAGGGCCUUUUUUCUGCGUCCCCCGCCUCCCCUCUCGCAGAAAUAGAGAGAGGUGAGGUGCGUGUGUGUAUGUCUCUGUGCGUAAGCAGCAGACGUCCGCAGCGGUGGUGGCUCACCCACACGCUCGCGGAGUGCUCUUAUCCGUCUCUUUCUCUGGUUGUUGCGCACCCUCAGCCUCUUGUUGCCAGACACACGGCGUUAUGCAUUUUUCGCGUUGCGACGCGCGAGCCCAGCACGGCUGCUACGCGUUGUCUUGAAUCCUUUUUUUUUGCUGUUUGGCCGUUCGUUAUUCUGCUGCUGCGCUCUUCUUUCUGCUGCGAUGGGAUGAGCGUUUUCUUUCCCUUCUCCUCCUUUUUUGUCCGUCUCGCCCUCGGCCGUUUCAGGCCUUCUGCUCUGGGGCACCGCGCCCACUCAACG